Molecule: non-coding RNA, 65 nt
Filed under: Sus scrofa (pig)
Lineage: Eukaryota; Metazoa; Chordata; Mammalia; Artiodactyla; Suidae
Source: RNAcentral
UCUCCUUGCGAGUCUCUGCUGCCUGGCGUCUCGGGCCAAGGCGGGAGGAAGCCGCGUUGGAGGGG